AUUGAACGCUGGCGGCAGGCCCAACACAUGCGAGUCGAAUGGUAACAGGAAACAGCUUGCUGUUUCGCUGACGAGUGGCGGACGGGUGAGUAAUGUCUGGGAAACUGCCUGAUGGAGGGGGAUAACUACUGGAAACGGUAGCUAAUACCGCAUAACGUCGCAAGACCAAAGAGGGGGACCUUCGGGCCUCUUGCCAUCAGAUGUGCCCAGAUGGGAUUAGCUAGUAGGUGGGGUAACGGCUCACCUAGGCGACGAUCCCUAGCUGGUCUGAGAGGAUGACCAGCCACACUGGAACUGAGACACGGUCCAGACUCCUACGGGAGGCAGCAGUGGGGAAUAUUGCACAAUGGGCGCAAGCCUGAUGCAGCCAUGCCGCGUGUAUGAAGAAGGCCUUCGGGUUGUAAAGUACUUUCAGCGGGGAGGAAGGGAGUAAAGUUAAUACCUUUGCUCAUUGACGUUACCCGCAGAAGAAGCACCGGCUAACUCCGUG
Molecule: ribosomal RNA, 490 nt
Filed under: uncultured bacterium
Lineage: Bacteria
Description: partial 16S ribosomal RNA
Rfam family: Bacterial small subunit ribosomal RNA
Source: RNAcentral